Molecule: long non-coding RNA, 367 nt
Organism: Astatotilapia calliptera (eastern happy)
Lineage: Eukaryota; Metazoa; Chordata; Actinopteri; Cichliformes; Cichlidae
Source: Ensembl
ACCCAGUGUGACCAGUACUUUGUGAGAGUGGGAAUGAAAAGCUGAACUGAUCAGUGAUUGGAUCAAACAGUCUCUUAAUUCACAUUCAGCCAAAUAAAGGCUCACCUUUGGUUAAACAUUCACCUCAGCCCUGUGUGUCUGCAUUUGGGUCCGCUCUCUCUCCCCAUGGUCUGCCAGCUCAGACCGUGAUCGAAGGCAUCUGCAGAGGAUAGUGACACAUGCACAGAGAGACACAGCAUGAAUCCUGAUUGGCCGGGAGAAGGUGACCGGGUUAGAUAGCUUGACAGCUUGGAUUUAUCUGGCAUGUGUUUGAAUCCUGCUCUGAAUCAGUCUCAUUAGGUAAUGUUCAAAUAUGAACAUAAUAUGA